CCACCCGAGGGGCGCUGCAGCAGGUUCCAGAACCUGUCAGGCUCGGAUGGGGCGUUUCCUCGAACGCAUCAACGGCGCCCAUUCGCA
This 87-nucleotide non-coding RNA is filed under the name Stutzerimonas stutzeri. RNAcentral's name for it is "Pseudomonas stutzeri SAH sequence". It matches the Rfam family "SAH (S-adenosyl-L-homocysteine) riboswitch aptamer". RNAcentral also lists the same sequence under 1 other name. Lineage: Bacteria; Pseudomonadati; Pseudomonadota; Gammaproteobacteria; Pseudomonadales; Pseudomonadaceae. The record is from RNAcentral.